CACAAGAGCUGGGGGCAGUGGGGAAACCAGGAAGUCUGCAGGCACGACGGUCAGGGGAGGAGCUUUUUUAACAAAUCUAAGGGUGCAGGGAUCACUUUCACCUAGCAAGCUGCUCAGCCUUGUUUCUUUUGUUCCAGGCAGGCCAGCUCUAUUCGAGAGGAUACAGGCAAGCCGGGGAGAUGAAGGUGCAGGUCCUAAAUCCACCGAAGGUCGAGUGAUAGGUGGCCAGUCCCACAGACCUGCACACAGCUGGGCUCCGCUCUCCCUCCUUCCUCCACGCCACAGGGCUGGAAGGAAUCCAGGGAGCCCUUCCGAAAAUUCCUUUAGAGAACUGACCUCAUUUGAAGCGGACACUGAGCCUGGAGAAGCCUUUUACUUCUGGCCGGGUGAGUGUAAGUCGAAAUAAAGGCAAAGUCGUGCAUUUGAAGAUAAGUGUGAUAGUCCCCAGCACAGAGUGAGACCAUGGCAACACACAAGGACACAGGAGCUCCUGUCUCAUGACCAGAAAACAAAACCCAGCCAUGGUGAGUCAGGAGCACCGUGGGACAGAGAGUUCUCCUCGGUUUGGGUCAGGAUGCCUGAGCUCAGCAAGGAUUUUUUGACCUUCUACACUGAGUUCAGCAGAGCCAGUGAGAUGACAUUCUCACAUACUGAUUAUGCAUAGCGGGCUCAAGGGAACCACAGCUUUCUGGCAGCUGGCUCUGAUCAUCCUACGCAGCUUUCCUCAGAUGUCCCACACUCCUGGCUUCUCCAGCUCUCUGGGGUUUCCAGUCCAGGUUUGCCUUCACUCUCAGAGCUUCACACACUGCCCCCCAGAGCCACACUGCCUGGCUUCCAGGGGAAUGAAUCCCAGGAGGCCAGUUUCCCAGAUGACCUUUUUUUUUCCGAAUAAAAAAACAGUUUUGUUGAGGUAUAAUUAACAUACAAUAAAUUGGACAUAUUCAAAGUAUACAAUUUGGUUUUGACAAAUGUAUAUAACUGUGGAAACAUCACAC
This 995-nucleotide long non-coding RNA is filed under the name Heterocephalus glaber (naked mole-rat). RNAcentral describes it as "lncRNA (ENSHGLG00100036098.1)". The record is from RNAcentral. Lineage: Eukaryota; Metazoa; Chordata; Mammalia; Rodentia; Bathyergidae.